This 439-nucleotide long non-coding RNA is filed under the name Elaeis guineensis (African oil palm). RNAcentral describes it as "long non-coding RNA (EGUI_LNC047644)". The record is from RNAcentral. Lineage: Eukaryota; Viridiplantae; Streptophyta; Magnoliopsida; Arecales; Arecaceae.
UAAAAGUAAAAAAUCUAUAAGAGAAUUGAUCAUAGGAUGUCCAAGAGAGGGGUCCCCUUUUUAUAGACUAGGAAUUAGGACUUUUCAAGAAAGGAUGCCAUGAAUCAAUACCAAAACCCCUUUUUGGCAUCCCCAAAAAUUCCAAAAAAAUUAUUAAGACAUGGAGAAGAAAUUUGGGGUCUCACAUGUUAAAUAAUUUCUCAUGAAAAAUAAGAAAAAAAUAAUAGGUCUCCAAUAAUAUACCAUAUAUAAAAAAUCUCUUUCUUAGUUUGCAUCUUAUCUCUAAUUCGGAUUGCAUUCGAAUUAGGCAAAAGAUAAUAUUAUGACUCAUCAGCUAUAGUCAACCACCCUUAUUGAAUUUUCUCUUAUGAUGCCAAAAAUCAUAACCCAAAUCCAAUUAGGCAUGAAGAAAUUGGCAUGGAUCUAGAUGUGGCACAAA